MicroRNA precursor from Pelodiscus sinensis (Chinese soft-shelled turtle), 90 nucleotides. Lineage: Eukaryota; Metazoa; Chordata; Testudines; Trionychidae. The record is from Ensembl.
CAGUCCAUGGCUUGCUGGUGCCCUUCAUUCCACCGGAAUCUGUAGAGGCAGAAACCAGAUUUCAGUGUAAUGAAGCCCAUCAGACAUGGA